This 492-nucleotide ribosomal RNA is filed under the name uncultured bacterium. RNAcentral's name for it is "partial 16S ribosomal RNA". It matches the Rfam family "Bacterial small subunit ribosomal RNA", at positions 29 to 507 of the family's 1533-position model. The record is from RNAcentral.
AGUGAACGCUGGCGGUAUGCCUAACACAUGCAAGUCGAACGGCAGCACAGUAAGAGCUUGCUCUUACGGGUGGCGAGUGGCGGACGGGUGAGGAAUACAUCGGAAUCUACUUUUUCGGGGGGGAUAACGUAGGGAAACUUACGCUAAUACCGCAUACGACGUACGGGUGAAAGCAGGGGAUCUUGGGGCCUUUCGCGAUAGAAUGAGCCGAAGCCGGAUUAGCUAGUUGGGGGGGUAAAGGCCCACCAAGGCAACGAUCCGUAGCUGGGCUGAGAGGAUGAUCAGCCACACUGGAACUGAGACACGGUCCAGACUCCUACGGGAGGCAGCAGUGGGGAAUAUUGGACAAUGGGCGCAAGCCUGAUCCAGCCAUACCGCGUGGGUGAAGAAGGCCUUCGGGUUGUAAAGCCCUUUUGUUGGGAAAGAAAAGCAGCAGGUUAAUCCCCCGCUGUUCUGACGGUACCCAAAGAAUAAGCACCGGCUAACUUCGUG